GCCGUUAUAGCUCAAUUGGCAGAGCGCCGCCCAUUUAAAGCGGGACAACACUGAUGAUACACAGAAAAAGUUCCACUCGCCUAUCAAGCGGGAGAAGAACGCUUCCGUGGUACCGGUUCAAAUCCGGUUGACGGCUCCA
This 139-nucleotide transfer RNA is filed under the name Caudoviricetes sp. Its description in RNAcentral is "tRNA-Asp". It matches the Rfam family "tRNA". From Rfam's summary of the family: Transfer RNA (tRNA) molecules are approximately 80 nucleotides in length. Their secondary structure includes four short double-helical elements and three loops (D, anti-codon, and T loops). Lineage: Duplodnaviria; Heunggongvirae; Uroviricota; Caudoviricetes. The record is from RNAcentral.